This 459-nucleotide ribosomal RNA is filed under the name uncultured bacterium. RNAcentral describes it as "partial 16S ribosomal RNA". It matches the Rfam family "Bacterial small subunit ribosomal RNA", at positions 338 to 795 of the family's 1533-position model. The record is from RNAcentral.
CCUACGGGUGGCAGCAGUGAGGAAUAUUGGUCAAUGGUCGAGAGUCUGAACCAGCCAAGCCGCGUGAGGGAUGACGGUCCUAUGGAUUGUAAACCUCUUUUGUCAGGGAAGAAAAUGUGGGACGUGUGCGCUGCUGCGUGUACCUUAUGAAUAAGAAUCGGCUAACUCCGUGCCAGCAGCCGCGGUAAUACGGAGGAUGCGAGCGUUAUCCGGAAUUAUUGGGGUAAAGGGGUGCGUAGGCGGGCUUUUAAGUCAGCGGUCAAAGCCCGGGGCUCAACCCCGGCCCGCCGUUGAAACUGGGGGUCUUGAGUGGGCGAGAAGUAGGCGGAAUGCGUGGUGUAGCGGUGAAAUGCAUAGAUAUCGCGCAGAACCCCGAUUGCGAAGGCAGCCUGCCGGGGCCAUACUGACGCUGAGGCACGAAAGUGUGGGGAUCGAACAGGAUUAGAUACCCGAGUAGUC